RNAcentral lists this ribosomal RNA (440 nucleotides) under uncultured bacterium. Its description in RNAcentral is "partial 16S ribosomal RNA". It matches the Rfam family "Bacterial small subunit ribosomal RNA", at positions 338 to 795 of the family's 1533-position model. The record is from RNAcentral.
CCUACGGGAGGCUGCAGUGGGGGAUAUUGCACACUGGGGGAAACCCUGAUGCAGCGACGCCGCGUGUGGGAAGACGGUCUUCUGGAUUGUAAACCACUGUCUCCAGGGACGACAAUGACGGUACCUGGGGAGGAAGCUCCGGCUAACUACGUGCCAGCAGCCGCGGUAAUACGUAGGGAGCAAGCGUUGUCCGGAAGUACUGGGUGUAAAGGGAGCGUAGGCGGGGAUGCAAGUUGGGUGUCAACACUACCGGCUAAACCGGUAGUCGCACUCAAAACUGCAACUCUUGAGUGAAGUAGAGGCAGGCGGAAUUCCUAGUGGAGCGGUGAAAUGCUUAGAUAUCAUGAAGAACUCCGAUCGCGAAGGCAAGUGUCCGGGGUGCAACUGACGCUGAGGCUCGAAAGUGCGGGUAUCAAACAGGAUUAGAUACCCGGGUAGUC